This 324-nucleotide ribosomal RNA is filed under the name uncultured eukaryote. Its description in RNAcentral is "partial 18S ribosomal RNA". It matches the Rfam family "Eukaryotic small subunit ribosomal RNA", at positions 1470 to 1796 of the family's 1831-position model. The record is from RNAcentral.
CCCUUAGAUGUUCUGAACCGCACGCGUGUUACACUGAUGCAUUCAACGAGCUUUACCUUGGCCGAGAGGCCUGGGAAAUCUUUUUAGCAUGCAUCGUGAUAGGGAUUGAUUAUUGCAAUUAUUAAUCAUGAACGAGGAAUUCCUAGUAAACGCAUUUCAUCAAAAUGCAUUGAUUACGUCCCUGCCCUUUGUACACACCGCCCGUCGCACCUACCGAUUGAGUGGUCCGGUGAAGUCUCGAGAUUGUGGCAAUCUCCUUUAUUGGAGUUUGACUGCGAGAACUUGCCUAAACCUUAUCACUUAGAGGAAGGUGAAGUCGGAACA